GAUCCUGGCUCAGGAUGAACGCUAGCUACAGGCUUAACACAUGCAAGUCGAGGGGCAGCAUGGUCUUAUCUUGCUAAGGCUGAUGGCGACCGGCGCACGGGUGAGUAACACGUAUCCAACCUGCCGUCUACUCUUGGACAGCCUUCUGAAAGGAAGAUUAAUACAAGAUGGCAUCAUGAGUCCGCAUGUUCACAUGAUUAAAGGUAUUCCGGUAGACGAUUGGGA
RNAcentral lists this ribosomal RNA (225 nucleotides) under uncultured bacterium. RNAcentral's name for it is "partial 16S ribosomal RNA". It matches the Rfam family "Bacterial small subunit ribosomal RNA", at positions 15 to 231 of the family's 1533-position model. The record is from RNAcentral.